UUUCUCAUUACCAGCUGUCAGAAUUGAAGUACUGAAUAACAUGUAUUUAAAUUCAAAUGAUUUUAUAACUGCUGCAAGGUUCCCUUUGAAGAUUGGAGCAACUAUUGUUGAAAUGAGAAAGUCAAUUCAAUUUACAAUGACAAUUAUUCCACAUCUCCUUUAUAUUGAUGAUGUGUUCACCUUUUAGUUCAUCUUUGAAGAUCUUCCAACAGUUGUCAAGAUGAAGAACAGCAAUGUUUAUCCUUUAAUGUAGUGACUGCAUCCUAGUAAAUAAAUGGACUGAUUUCUAG
This is a long non-coding RNA of Mytilus trossulus (common blue mussel), 290 nucleotides long. RefSeq lists it as uncharacterized. The transcript is spliced from 2 exons. The record is from RefSeq and is a predicted model, not a curated record. Lineage: Eukaryota; Metazoa; Mollusca; Bivalvia; Mytilida; Mytilidae.